This 619-nucleotide ribosomal RNA is filed under the name Trichoderma harzianum. RNAcentral's name for it is "eukaryotic LSU rRNA". The stretch from base 231 to 384 matches the Rfam family "5.8S ribosomal RNA". The record is from RNAcentral. Lineage: Eukaryota; Fungi; Ascomycota; Sordariomycetes; Hypocreales; Hypocreaceae.
UCCGUUGGUGAACCAGCGGAGGGAUCAUUACCGAGUUUACAACUCCCAAACCCAAUGUGAACGUUACCAAACUGUUGCCUCGGCGGGAUCUCUGCCCCGGGUGCGUCGCAGCCCCGGACCAAGGCGCCCGCCGGAGGACCAACCAAAACUCUUUUUGUAUACCCCCUCGCGGGUUUUUUAUAAUCUGAGCCUUCUCGGCGCCUCUCGUAGGCGUUUCGAAAAUGAAUCAAAACUUUCAACAACGGAUCUCUUGGUUCUGGCAUCGAUGAAGAACGCAGCGAAAUGCGAUAAGUAAUGUGAAUUGCAGAAUUCAGUGAAUCAUCGAAUCUUUGAACGCACAUUGCGCCCGCCAGUAUUCUGGCGGGCAUGCCUGUCCGAGCGUCAUUUCAACCCUCGAACCCCUCCGGGGGGUCGGCGUUGGGGAUCGGCCCUCCCUUAGCGGGUGGCCGUCUCCGAAAUACAGUGGCGGUCUCGCCGCAGCCUCUCCUGCGCAGUAGUUUGCACACUCGCAUCGGGAGCGCGGCGCGUCCACAGCCGUUAAACACCCAACUUCUGAAAUGUUGACCUCGGAUCAGGUAGGAAUACCCGCUGAACUUAAGCAUAUCAAUAAGCGGAGGAA